AAUAGAUACCCCGGUAGUCCACGCCGUAAACGAUGUCGACUUGGAGGUUGUGCCCUUGAGGCGUGGCUUCCGGAGCUAACGCGUUAAGUCGACCGCCUGGGGAGUACGGCCGCAAGGUUAAAACUCAAAUGAAUUGACGGGGGCCCGCACAAGCGGUGGAGCAUGUGGUUUAAUUCGAUGCAACGCGAAGAACCUUACCUACUCUUGACAUCCAGAGAACUUAGCAGAGAUGCUUUGGUGCCUUCGGGAACUCUGAGACAGGUGCUGCAUGGCUGUCGUCAGCUCGUGUUGUGAAAUGUUGGGUUAAGUCCCGCAACGAGCGCAACCCUUAUCCUUUGUUGCCAGCGGUUAGGCCGGGAACUCAAAGGAGACUGCCAGUGAUAAACUGGAGGAAGGUGGGGAUGACGUCAAGUCACCAUGGCCCUUACGAGUAGGGCUACACACGUGCUACAAUGGCAUAUACAAAGAGAAGCGACCUCGCGAGAGCAAGCGGACCUCAUAAAGUAUGUCGUAGUCCGGAUUGGAGU
This 527-nucleotide ribosomal RNA is filed under the name uncultured bacterium. Its description in RNAcentral is "bacterial SSU rRNA". It matches the Rfam family "Bacterial small subunit ribosomal RNA", at positions 777 to 1304 of the family's 1533-position model. The record is from RNAcentral.